GUAUUUCAUAGGAGUGUAAGACAAAAAGUAUUUCUUUUGUUGUUAAGAAUUUUCUCAUUUUCAGCCAUGAGACUCAGUGUCAUGUUAAUGGUUUCUUGUGUUCUCACAUUUCUCAUUUUAAAUAAUGGUAAAGUUGAGGUGGAAGCCGGCAUGAGAAAACUUGGCUGCGAAACAUUACCAAGCAAUUAUCUUGGAACAUGCGGAAAAAAUGGAAUUAAUUUAUGUGUAGAUGACGUAAAAAAAAUGAUUGUCAAAAAUACUGGAAAAGCUGUGCCAAAAGGUUAUGGAGUACGUUGUGACAAAUGUAUUGAUGAAGCUCCCAAGCCAGGUUAUGCUCGCAUGCAUAAAUGUGUAUGUCGAUAUGAUUGCUAAAUUUAAAAAUAUCUAUAUAAGCAUAACCUCUUUACUAAUAAAGACAUGAGAUCAUUGUAAUGGAGAGUUUUUUGGCGUAGAUCUGGCUGGAAAAACAACUCAUGUCUUACUAAUAAUUUUCCAAGUUAUAUUGGUUAUGGUUCUAAAUUUUAAAAUACCUAUAUAAGCAUAAUCUCUUUACUAAUAAAAACAUGAGAUCAUUGUAAUCGAGAGUUUUUUGGCGUAGAUCUGGCUGGAAAAACAGCUCAUGUCUUACUAAUAAUUUUCCGAGUUAUAUUGGUUAUGGUUCUAAAUAAAUAUAAAUUUGAGGUAAUAA
Molecule: long non-coding RNA, 688 nt
Organism: Brassica napus (rape)
Lineage: Eukaryota; Viridiplantae; Streptophyta; Magnoliopsida; Brassicales; Brassicaceae
Exons: 2
Source: RefSeq, a predicted model, not a curated record